Molecule: unclassified non-coding RNA, 336 nt
Filed under: soil metagenome
Description: partial contains 5.8S ribosomal RNA, internal transcribed spacer 2, and large subunit ribosomal RNA
Rfam family: 5.8S ribosomal RNA (bases 1-120)
Source: RNAcentral
GAUGAAGAACGUAGCGAAAUGAGAUAAGUAAUGUGAAUUGCAGAAUUCAGUGAAUCAUCGAAUCUUUGAACGCACAUUGCGCCCCUUGGUAUUCCAUGGGGCAUGCCUGUUCGAGCGUCAUUUGUACCUUCAAGCUCUGCUUGGUGUUGGGUGUUUGUCUCGCCUCUGCGUGUAGACUCGCCUCAAAACAAUUGGCAGCCGGCGUAUUGAUUUCGGAGCGCAGUACAUCUCGCGCUUUGCACUCAUAACGACGACGUCCAAAAGUACAUUUUUACACUCUUGACCUCGGAUCAGUUAGGGAUACCCGCUGAACUUAAGCAUAUCAAUAAGCGGAGA